Molecule: ribosomal RNA, 940 nt
Filed under: Philometroides carassii
Lineage: Eukaryota; Metazoa; Nematoda; Chromadorea; Rhabditida; Philometridae
Description: SSU rRNA
Rfam family: Eukaryotic small subunit ribosomal RNA
Source: RNAcentral
AUGCAUGUCUAAGUUCAUAUUGCCUAUAAUGGUGAAACCGCGAACGGCUCAUUACAACAGCUAUUAUUUACUUGAUUUUGAUUCCAUACGUGGAUAACUGUGGCAAUUCUAGAGCUAAUACAUGCACCAAAGCUCCGACUAUCAUUUUGACGAGCGCAUCUAUUAGAAUAAAACCAAUCGAGACUUUUUUCUUCAAUCGAGAAGAUCGCCUCGUCCAUUUGGUGACUCUGAAUAGCUUAGCUGAUCGCAUGGUCUCGUACCGGCGACGUAUCUAUCAAGUAUCUGCCUUAUCAACUUUCGAUGGUAGUUUAUGUGACUACCAUGGUUGUAACGGGUAACGGAGAAUAAGGGUUCGACUCCGGAGAGGGAGCCUGAGAAACGGCUACCACUUCCAAGGAAGGCAGCAGGCGCGCAAAUUACCCACUCUCAGCACAGAGGAGGUAGUGACGAAAAAUAACGAGACCGUACUCGAUGAGGCCGGUUAUCGGAAUGGGUACAAUUUAAACCCGUUAACGAGGAUCUAUGAGAGGGCAAGUCUGGUGCCAGCAGCCGCGGUAAUUCCAGCUCUCAAAGUGUAUAUCGGCAUUGCUGCGGUUAAAAAGCUCGUAGUUGGAUUUCAGCCUUACGACGUGGUCCAUUCAUUGAAUGCGAACUACGCCUCGUAGGCUAUUUUAAUGUUGGUUUUUCCUUACGUCGCUCUCAUCGGCAGCGUAAGGUGGCUAACGAGUUUACCUUGAAAAAAUUAGAGUGCUCAACGCGGGCUAACGCCUGAAUACUCGUGCAUGGAAUAAUGGAAUAGGAUCUCGGUUCUAUUUUGUUGGUUUUCUGAUCUGAGAUAAUGGUUAAGAGGGACAGACGGGGGCAUUCGUAUCGCUGCGUGAGAGGUGAAAUUCUUGGACCGUAGCGAGACGUCCCACUGCGAAAGCAUUUGCCAAGAAUG